Molecule: transfer RNA, 79 nt
Filed under: uncultured Fusobacterium sp.
Lineage: Bacteria; Fusobacteriati; Fusobacteriota; Fusobacteriia; Fusobacteriales; Fusobacteriaceae
Rfam family: tRNA
About the family: Transfer RNA (tRNA) molecules are approximately 80 nucleotides in length. Their secondary structure includes four short double-helical elements and three loops (D, anti-codon, and T loops).
Source: RNAcentral
UGGAUGGCGGAAUGGUAGACGCGACGGACUCAAAAUCCGUUUCCCCUUAAAGGAGUGAGGGUUCAAGUCCCUCUCUAGG